AUCGCUUCUCGGCCUUUUGGCUAAGAUCAAAGUGUAGUAUCUGUUCUUAUAAGCUUAAUCUCUGGUACGGUCUCCAUAGGGGAGAACCAGAAGAUUAAACUGAUUUUUUUCGGAAAAUGACCUAGUGCUAGAGGGCUUGUUCCACCUCUGUUGCGGGUUGACCCGGUAUUGCAGGCGCCACGGUAGCCGAGAGGUU
RNAcentral lists this small nuclear RNA (196 nucleotides) under Rhodnius prolixus. RNAcentral's name for it is "U2 spliceosomal RNA". It matches the Rfam family "U2 spliceosomal RNA". From Rfam's summary of the family: U2 is a small nuclear RNA (snRNA) component of the spliceosome (involved in pre-mRNA splicing). Complementary binding between U2 snRNA (in an area lying towards the 5' end but 3' to hairpin I) and the branchpoint sequence (BPS) of the intron results the bulging out of an unpaired adenosine, on the BPS, which initiates a nucleophilic attack at the intronic 5' splice site, thus starting the first of two transesterification reactions that mediate splicing. The record is from Rfam by way of RNAcentral. Lineage: Eukaryota; Metazoa; Arthropoda; Insecta; Hemiptera; Reduviidae.